RNAcentral lists this ribosomal RNA (484 nucleotides) under uncultured bacterium. Its description in RNAcentral is "partial 16S ribosomal RNA". It matches the Rfam family "Bacterial small subunit ribosomal RNA", at positions 30 to 507 of the family's 1533-position model. The record is from RNAcentral.
AUUGAACGCUGGCGGCAGGCCUAACACAUGCGAGUCGAGCGGAUGAAGGGAGCUUGCUCCUGGAUUCAGCGGCGGACGGGUGAGUAAUGCCUAGGAAUCUGCCUGGUAGUGGGGGAUAACGUCCGGAAACGGGCGCUAAUACCGCAUACGCCCUGAGGGAGAAAGUGGGGGAUCUUCGGACCUCACGCUAUCAGAUGAGCCUAGGUCGGAUUAGCUAGUUGGUGGGGUAAAGGCCUACCAAGGCGACGAUCCGUAACUGGUCUGAGAGGAUGAUCAGUCACACUGGAACUGAGACACGGUCCAGACUCCUACGGGAGGCAGCAGUGGGGAAUAUUGGACAAUGGACGAAAGCCUGAUCCAGCCAUGCCGCGUGUGUGAAGAAGGUCUUCGGAUUGUAAAGCACUUUAAGUUGGGAGGAAGGGCAGUAAGUUAAUACCUUGCUGUUUUGACGUUACCAACAGAAUAAGCACCGGCUAACUUCGUG